Molecule: long non-coding RNA, 1286 nt
Organism: Cyprinus carpio carpio
Lineage: Eukaryota; Metazoa; Chordata; Actinopteri; Cypriniformes; Cyprinidae
Source: Ensembl
CGUGUUCAUCUGUGGGCACUGAAUCAAAUAUGUGCUGACUGAACUAUAGAUUCUAUUAUCUUCUGUAUGGCUUGUGUAAUAGCAAUGGUAUAUAAAAGUGAGGUGGAAUAUGAAGCUGAUAUAUUGAUCGGAGACAUGGCUGGAAAAACUGUCAGAAACAUGUAUUGGGAGCUGGAUGUUAGGGCCUGGAAAAAACAUGAACGGAAACUAAUGAGAGAAGAUCAGCAGAUCCCAACCGGUGGAUGAGAUUAAUCAGUCAAAGAUAUGAAAACCUCACUAUUGAAUGGACUCGCAGACGAUGUAGACAGCCCAUCCGAGAUGUGAUUAAUAUCAAAGGUAAUUCGACACUUUUGAGGAUAUUUUGUACACAAUUUCGAAGCCUUUGGACAGAGAUAAAUGAGGAUGAAAUCAGAGAUCUGGAAGAAAGAGCACAAGCUCUUGCGUUAGACAACUAAAGACACAGACAACAAUUAAACGAACAAAGAAGAGCUGCCAAAAAACAUGAGAGACCAUGUUUUCACCUGACAGGAGCUCAUGGAGACCACAAGAUCUGCAUCUUUUGACCAGAUUCGAUGGAGACCAAAUAUUAAUUUCUUGUAUUUCUUGUAUUUGUCUGUGAAUAUUUCCCAGGGUUUAUUGUCAAUUUCUGUAUGAACAAAAGUCUUGAUUAAAAAAUUAAAUUAAAAAAUAAAUCUAAUAGACAUUUUCAUUGUUACACACUUAACACACAUUAUACUCUUUUGUCACAUUGUAUGGGGUAAUUUGUAGCAAAUGAAGCUACCAUUUACUAAUGUAUGUCAGUGGGGGUUUACGGUGUUCAGUUGUUUACCAACAGCUAUUAGUAACUGCCUAUAACUAAAAUCACACACACACACACACACACACACACACACACACACACACACACACACACACACACACACACACACACACACACACACACUCACACAACAACUUCCUACAAAGUAACAUUGAGAAACUGUCCAGUCUCCAUAGAGACGCAGCUUUAAAUCCAUCAGACAGCGCCCUCUUCUGGACUGAGCUUGUCAUCAGACACAAAUCUGAAAGUAACAUUUUUGCAUUUGGCAGACGCUUUUAUCCAAAGCGACUUACAGUGCAUUCAGGCUAUACUAUAUAAUAAUAUAUAUAUAAUAAUAAUAAUAUAUAUAAUAAUAAUAUAUAAUAACUAUAUAUAUAUAUAUAUAUACUAUAUAUAUAUAUAUUUUUUUUUUUUAACAACGUUUAAUUUAUGUUUUGCUGAUACUGCAAAGACAAAAAAAAAAAAA